Felis catus (domestic cat) is the source of this 1562-nucleotide long non-coding RNA. RefSeq lists it as uncharacterized. NCBI's taxonomy places the organism in Eukaryota, Metazoa, Chordata, Mammalia, Carnivora, Felidae. The record is from RefSeq and is a predicted model, not a curated record. The transcript is spliced from 3 exons.
ACACACCUCCUGAUCUCUCUGGACCCCGCCCCCGAAGGGAAGAAACCGGGCAGCGGGGACGGUUGACGCUUCAAACGCCAUCUUUUACGUGGGCGGAAGAAGUCGCUGCUUAAUUUCGUUUUCCUCGUGGGACACCGUAGAAAUGUCUUAUGUGCUGCUUUGGAGCGGGAGCUGAGGAUUUGUUGAUUACCUCCCAUUUACCAGGAUUACAGCAAAUUAGAUUUAACUGUGACUGGCAUGGGACCUAUCUGAUGUCGACAUGGAUGAGGAAUAUUGCUAUAUAAACCACAAGACUGGACAAAGACUCACAAAGAGUCUGCGGAUCACAAGACCCACCUGUGAAGCAGAGGCUCUCUGGUUUGAUUGCAUAAUGGAAAAGACACAGUUUUACAAGCUGAAACCAAAUCACGAGGAUAGAGAUAGCUUGCAAAAUUGCAGGGAGGGAAAGUGGUGGGGUAGGGAAGGAGACCCUAGAGAGAAUGGGGACAAACAGAUGACCUGAAGUAGAGGAUAAGAUGAGGAGGCUUCCAAACUGUGUCAAGGGCACCAAAAUGGGGGGGAAGCAGGAGGGAAUGCAAAUUGUCAACUAUUCCACAAUUUAAUGAACAGUGUACUAAUAUGUGUACUAUUUCUACUCUGUCACCAACUUAAUUCAAGGCCAAGGUCUCAGAGACAGAAUGCUGGAAUAUAAUUCUAGAACUGUGCCAAUAAACAAUAAAUCAAAGUCCAUAGUUUUUCUCAUCACGUAAAAUUGUCAUAUUAAAGUUACAAACAUUCUCUCCAUACAGUCUAAUGUUUAAUGCAUUCUAUAGUCUUUAUUAAGAAUCUGUCAUUUGGUCCCUAAAUGACCCAUUUAUUUAAUUUUAAAAUAUUGUUUCUGUUUCUUGUUGGUAUUAUCAAUCUCAGUUCCCUGUUAACUUUCUCCCCAUAUGAUAGCAAAUAUGUCCCCUACUGAACAAAAUUACUUCACUUAGCUUAAUUUUACAUUUAAAAAAUUUCCACAUUUUAAAAGUUUGGUACCUUCACAUGUUAGUAGAAUUUUGACAACAGGAUAUUAAUAUCACAGCUGGCUCAAUGAAAGCAAAGGUACAAGUCAGGACCCACAUUGCUUCGAAUGAGGAGCUUGGGAGUUCACCAUAGCCAAAGUGUGAAAAUUCUGUUAAGAUUUUGCUGCUGAUCUGUUUUCUCUCAGGACCUAUGCUUGCUUCCCAUGCCCCAGCCAACUCCCUAAUCCUGAGCACAGGCCUAGAUGUCUUUAUCCUGACUUCUGAAGGGCCUGGGAAACACCUCUGUCUCAAUACCCCUAUCCCAAACCAGUAGAUAGCCAAUGGCUGGCUUUCUAAAAUAAAGGCAGUGUACAUAUUUUGUCAGUGGAAAUGGAAAUGUCCACAAGUAGAAGAUUUUGCUUUUUAAUAAUUUGUAGUGUUCAGUAAAGUUUAGUCUUUAGACUGGGCCAAUCCAUGAUACUUAUUUUCUCCUGUGUUAUAUUUGCUUUGAUUUUAUAUUUUGAAAUGUAAUUUUAAGUCUCUUGAAGCCAAUAAUAAAAAAAAUUAGGACUUGUA